Molecule: ribosomal RNA, 1445 nt
Filed under: uncultured organism
Description: SSU rRNA
Rfam family: Bacterial small subunit ribosomal RNA
Source: RNAcentral
GCUCAGGAUGAACGCUAGCUACAGGCUUAACACAUGCAAGUCGAGGGGCAGCAUGGUCUUAGCUUGCUAAGGCCGAUGGCGACCGGCGCACGGGUGAGUAACACGUAUCCAACCUGCCGUCUACUCUUGGACAGCCUUCUGAAAGGAAGAUUAAUACAAGAUGGCAUCAUGAGUCCGCAUGUUCACAUGAUUAAAGGUAUUCCGGUAGACGAUGGGGAUGCGUUCCAUUAGAUAGUAGGCGGGGUAACGGCCCACCUAGUCUUCGAUGGAUAGGGGUUCUGAGAGGAAGGUCCCCCACAUUGGAACUGAGACACGGUCCAAACUCCUACGGGAGGCAGCAGUGAGGAAUAUUGGUCAAUGGGCGAGAGCCUGAACCAGCCAAGUAGCGUGAAGGAUGACUGCCCUAUGGGUUGUAAACUUCUUUUAUAAAGGAAUAAAGUCGGGUAUGGAUACCCGUUUGCAUGUACUUUAUGAAUAAGGAUCGGCUAACUCCGUGCCAGCAGCCGCGGUAAUACGGAGGAUCCGAGCGUUAUCCGGAUUUAUUGGGUUUAAAGGGAGCGUAUAUGGAUGUUUAAGUCAGUUGUGAAAGUUUGCGGCUCAACCGUAAAAUUGCAAGUUGAUACUGGAUAUCUUGAGUGCAGUUGAGGCAGGCGGAAUUCGUGGUGUAGCGGUGAAAUGCUUAGAUAUCACGAAGAACUCCGAUUGCGAAGGCAGCCUGCUAAGCUGCAACUGACAUUGAGGCUCGAAAGUGUGGGUAUCAAACAGGAUUAGAUACCCUGGUAGUCCACACGGUAAACGAUGAAUACUCGCUGUUUGCGAUAUACUGCAAGCGGCCAAGCGAAAGCGUUAAGUAUUCCACCUGGGGAGUACGCCGGCAACGGUGAAACUCAAAGGAAUUGACGGGGGCCCGCACAAGCGGAGGAACAUGUGGUUUAAUUCGAUGAUACGCGAGGAACCUUACCCGGGCUUAAAUUGCAGAUGAAUUACGGUGAAAGCCGUAAGCCGCAAGGCAUCUGUGAAGGUGCUGCAUGGUUGUCGUCAGCUCGUGCCGUGAGGUGUCGGCUUAAGUGCCAUAACGAGCGCAACCCUUGUUGUCAGUUACUAACAGGUUCCGCUGAGGACUCUGACAAGACUGCCAUCGUAAGAUGUGAGGAAGGUGGGGAUGACGUCAAAUCAGCACGGCCCUUACGUCCGGGGCUACACACGUGUUACAAUGGGGGGUACAGAGGGCCGCUACCACGCGAGUGGAUGCCAAUCCCCAAAACCUCUCUCAGUUCGGACUGGAGUCUGCAACCCGACUCCACGAAGCUGGAUUCGCUAGUAAUCGCGCAUCAGCCACGGCGCGGUGAAUACGUUCCCGGGCCUUGUACACACCGCCCGUCAAGCCAUGGGAGCCGGGGGUACCUGAAGUGCGUAACCGCGAGGAGCGCCCUAGGGUAAAACUG